RNAcentral lists this ribosomal RNA (253 nucleotides) under uncultured bacterium. RNAcentral describes it as "partial 16S ribosomal RNA". It matches the Rfam family "Bacterial small subunit ribosomal RNA", at positions 524 to 776 of the family's 1533-position model. The record is from RNAcentral.
UACGUAGGGUGCAAGCGUUAAUCGGAAUUACUGGGCGUAAAGCGUGCGCAGGCGGCUUUGCGAGACAGAUGUGAAAUCCCCGGGCUCAACCUGGGAACUGCAUUUGUGACUGCAAGGCUGGAGUACGGUAGAGGGGGAUGGAAUUCCGCGUGUAGCAGUGAAAUGCGUAGAGAUGUGGAGGAACACCGAUGGCGAAGGCAGCCCCCUGGGCUGAGAUUGACGCUCAGGCACGAAAGCGUGGGGAGCAAACAGG